AACGAACGCUGGCGGCAUGCCUAACACAUGCAAGUCGAACGAGACCUUCGGGUCUAGUGGCGCACGGGUGCGUAACGCGUGGGAACCUGCCCUUAGGUUCGGAAUAACUCCCCGAAAGGGGUGCUAAUACCGGAUAAUGUCUUCGGACCAAAGAUUUAUCGCCUUUGGAUGGGCCCGCGUUGGAUUAGCUAGUUGGUAGGGUAAAAGCCUACCAAGGCGACGAUCCAUAGCUGGUCUGAGAGGAUGAUCAGCCACACUGGGACUGAGACACGGCCCAGACUCCGCGGGAAGGAGGAGGGGGGAAAUAUUGCAAAGGGGGGGAAGCCCUGACCGAGCAUUGCCGGGGGAGUAAGGAAGCCUUUGGGGUUGAAAAUCCUUUUUCCCCGGGAGUAAAAUAAGAGCACGGGAGAAAAGGCCCCGGCCAACCCCCGUC
Molecule: ribosomal RNA, 433 nt
Filed under: uncultured bacterium
Lineage: Bacteria
Description: partial 16S ribosomal RNA
Rfam family: Bacterial small subunit ribosomal RNA
Source: RNAcentral